AGCGAACGCUGGCGGCAGGCUUAACACAUGCAAGUCGAACGCGCGUAGCAAUACGUGAGUGGCAGACGGGCGAGGAACACGUGGGAAUAUGCCCUUUGGUUCGGAAUAACUCAGGGAAACUUGAGCUAAUACCGGAUAUCUCCGAGAGGAGAAAGAUUUAUCGCCAAAGGAUUAGCCCGCGUCUGAUUAGCUAGUUGGUGAGGUAACGGCUCACCAAGGCGACGAUCAGUAGCUGGUCUGAGAGGAUGAUCAGCCGCACUGGGACUGAGACACGGCCCAGACUCCUACGGGAGGCAGCAGUGGGGAAUAUUGGACAAUGGGCGCAAGCCUGAUCCAGCCAUGCCGCGUGAGUGAUGAAGGCCUUAGGGUUGUAAAGCUCUUUUGUCCGGGAAGAUAAUGACUGUACCGGAAGAAUAAGCCCCGGCUAACUUCGUGCCAGCAGCCGCGGUAAU
RNAcentral lists this ribosomal RNA (452 nucleotides) under uncultured bacterium. RNAcentral describes it as "bacterial SSU rRNA". It matches the Rfam family "Bacterial small subunit ribosomal RNA", at positions 29 to 524 of the family's 1533-position model. The record is from RNAcentral.